This 252-nucleotide ribosomal RNA is filed under the name uncultured prokaryote. RNAcentral describes it as "partial 16S ribosomal RNA". It matches the Rfam family "Bacterial small subunit ribosomal RNA", at positions 524 to 775 of the family's 1533-position model. The record is from RNAcentral.
UACGGAGGAUGCAAGCGUUAUCCGGAUUUAUUGGGUUUAAAGGGUGCGCAGGCGGACUAAUAAGUCAGUGGUGAAAUUUACAUGCUCAACAUGUAGCGUGCCAUUGAUACUGUUGGACUAGUAUACAAAUGACGUAGCUGGAAUGUGUUAUGUAGCGGUGAAAUGCAUAGAUAUAACACAGAACACCGAUCGUGAAGACAGGUUACGAAUUUGUUAUAGACGCUCAUGCACGAAAGCGUGGGGAGUCAAACA